Molecule: long non-coding RNA, 1641 nt
Organism: Tachysurus vachellii
Lineage: Eukaryota; Metazoa; Chordata; Actinopteri; Siluriformes; Bagridae
Exons: 3
Source: RefSeq, a predicted model, not a curated record
UCAGCGAACGACUUACAUUCUGUCUAAAAUCCGCUUAGCAGGACUAAUAAGUAGAGUAAUUAAAGCUCUUUUCUUUAUACGUGUAAACGGUAAGAGUGAGAAACAGUGAAACACUUUUGUUCUUAUGAUUGGAAAUGUUUUUCUUACUUAUAAUUUUACCAUCAGAUGGUUUUGGAUUUUUGGCGAUUCGUGACAUUGUGUGUGACCUGGGUAUAGAUCAAGAUUCAGGAAGUACAGGCCUUCACAGAUAUUCGUGCAACAGGGGACAACAGGAACUGAAGAGAAGUUAGAAGUAUACACGAAAGCCUCGCACAUCAAUACCUGCUGUUUGAUUCCCACCACCCCAUUGCAGUACCAUUUAGGAGUCAUCAGGACACUACACCACAGGGCAGAAAGCUGUUAACCCAGUGGAAAUGCAACCAUUUAGUCCCAGGAUUUGUCAACAUGAACGCUGUCAGCAGAACGCUGGCGCGUACUGCUGCCACUGCUCUCCAUGGUCUGAGUUUGUGUGCUUGUUUGUUUUGACUGUUUGUUUGCUGUUGCCUUUUCUGGUCAUUUUUGACCACAAGGAUUGAGGACUGUUCAGGAGACCGUUUGUGUCUAACUGGGGAAGUCUGGAAUUCAGUGAUCUGUGCUAGCUGGUCAAUCUGACACUUCCAAAUGUGGCCUCCGACGCUCUGUUUUCACAGAGGGAAAUCAGCAACUCAGUUCUAACUAAAGGAUCAACUGGCACUAUUUUAUCCAAAGGCGGAAUAAGCAGCUCGGUGAUUCGCUGCCCCUAAAUGAUUAACCUUACGCUUCAUAACGUGGCUUUUGACGACGUUCCAUCUUCUCAGAUUUACCCUGGAGUUUGCAUUCAACAAUGUGGAUUUGCCGACUUUUCAUGUGGAUUAUAUUCUAUUUUAUUCAUCAUCCAGUGACCUCGAUAUUCCAAUAUACUGCAGAGAAACUUUUUUCAUUGUGACCCCGUGUCACUGAACCGCCAUUGACCCUUCAAUCGCACCAGAUAUUAUUUACUAUCCUCGGCAGAAGUACAUCCAUCGUGGGUAACGACGGAAUUAUAUCUACGAUGACACUGGUCCAAUACGAUCGUUCUGGUCGUCCUCCCCGCGCCCACCAAAGAAAUCAAUAUGGACCGUCGACCACAGUGUGCUAGCCGAUAUCGCCCAGACUACCAGCAUUGAAUCUGCUACGACUGAUCUUACUUUUCUUUUAUUUAAUAUGAAUGACCGUAAGUUUGACUUUCUUUGUCUCACUGAAACAUGGCAACAAUCCCAUGACUUUUCCCAGCUUAAUCAAUUUGUCCCUCCUGGCUUUACAUACACCUGUCAGCCUCGCACAUCUGGCUGUGGUGGAGGGCUUGCGAUUCUUUUAUAACGAGAAGUGGAAAGCUACUCUCAUGAACAUGCCUCUGUAUGAAACAUUUGAGUCAUUUGAGUUUUACAAAUUAAUGGUCCUGUUCCUACUGUUGUAGCCACUGUUUAUCACCCACCCAGGACUUUACUGAGUUCUACAUCACAAAAUGUUAUUAUAUUGGGCGAUUUUAAUAUACACAUGGACGAUGUCAACAAUACUCUCUCACUAGGGAUUUUUAUCAUGCCUGGAAUACAGCAAAUGGGUUUUUUUUUGUUUUUUUUUUUU